This 378-nucleotide unclassified non-coding RNA is filed under the name uncultured fungus. RNAcentral's name for it is "partial contains small subunit ribosomal RNA, internal transcribed spacer 1, and 5.8S ribosomal RNA". The stretch from base 1 to 73 matches the Rfam family "Eukaryotic small subunit ribosomal RNA", at positions 1759 to 1831 of the family's 1831-position model. Lineage: Eukaryota; Fungi. The record is from RNAcentral.
ACAAACUUGGUCAUUUAGAGGAAGUAAAAGUCGUAACAAGGUUUCCGUAGGUGAACCUGCGGAAGGAUCAUUAUCGAAUUGUAAGGAUUAGGCUGUCGCUGGCUCUCUCUGGGAGCAUGUGCACGCCGCAUCCAAACUCUUCAAUCUAACUACCUGUGCACCUUCUGUGGACUGUGGUCAGAUAACUUGUCGAGCUAACACUCGGUCUUAUGGAUUGCACCUAACCGUGCUUUCCAUUGCAUCUGUCCACGGUUCAUGUCUUACUACACACUAUUCAUUUACUAGAAUGUCUAACAGUUGGGACUCGUGCCCUUCUUAAAUUUAUAUACAACUUUCAACAACGGAUCUCUUGGCUCUCGCAUCGAUGAAGAACGCAGC